Molecule: long non-coding RNA, 3055 nt
Organism: Passer montanus (Eurasian tree sparrow)
Lineage: Eukaryota; Metazoa; Chordata; Aves; Passeriformes; Passeridae
Exons: 2
Source: RefSeq, a predicted model, not a curated record
UCCAGAGCAGGCAGGUGAAAACCUUCAAGACCCUGCAGGGUUCCAGAGGCUGGGUCCCAGAGCAGGCAGCUGAAAACCCUCAGGAAUGGGAAGAACCCUGCAGGGUUCCAAAGCUGUCCCAGAGCAGGCAGGUGAAGGCCCCUGGAAGGCCGUGGAGCUCCCGAUGCCCUCAGCAGAGCCAUCCUCAGCACCUGUGCCCUGCUCACACAGGGCUGGGACCUCCUGCAGCAAGGUCCAGGAGCGGGGUCAGUCCUGCAGGAGCUGCCAGCUGGGCCCGUCCCUGUGUCACCUGGGCCCGUCCCUGUGUCACCUGGGCCCGUCCCUGUGUCACCUGGGCCCCUGCAGCAGCUCCCAGCAGCUGUGGCUGGGGCAGAGCUCCAUGAGGUCACAGCAAAAAGCCAAAGCUACCAGGAAUGUCCCAUGCCACCCCUGCCCUGGGCAGGUGACACUGCUGAGGUUUGUCACAGUGCCACCCCUCUCCUGGGCAGGUGACACUGCUGAGGAUCCCUCCAGUGCCACCCUGCAGGUGGCACUGCCAGGCUCACAGGUGACACAGAGCCCUGCCUGUCUCCGAGGUGCUCUGUGGGACACAAAAGCAGGGCAGCCACUGGCACGGGUUUCUAAAAAACAGCAAAAACCUCCGUGGAUAAACUAGAUGGCCCGGUAUGGAAAAUAUUUGUAAAAGGUAUUUACAAAAGUUGAAAGAGAUUAAAUACAAUACCACAUUCAUGUCCCCAAAAGCGCUUUCACUACAGUGCAUGUUUAAAAAUACACAGCAUUUUUAAAGUAUAUAUUUAUAUAUAUAUAUAUAUUUAUAUAUAUAUACUGAAGAUUAGAUUGUGCUUUAAAAAAAUCAUUACUUCUGAAUUUGACUAACGUGAAAACUGAGUGCUGGGAAAAAUACUGAUUAAAAAUACCCAAUUUUAUAUAUACUGCUUUUCACAUAAUAGUUUGCUAUACAUGGGAUGCAAGUAAAUAUAAAAAUAGCAUUUUUUAAGCUGCAGGGUGAUCGAAAUAAACAGUAUUAAUAUAGGAGGGCCGAUUUUACAAAAGUAAGAUAAAUUAUUAGAGUGAGACAGGGAGAAACUAUAAUCCAAAUUAACUUUUAUAUAAUACUUUCAAAGAAAUCUUUAUCAUAGACAACUCUUAAUAUAGAAAUGUUCAGUAUUUUUAACUUUGAAGUUAAAUAUGGAUUAGACAAAAUACAACCUAUGCAAACUGACCCAUGCACACUGUCCUAGGAAGGCCAUGGAGCCACUGACACGAGCGAGGUUUGCAAACUUUGGUCCUCAGGUCUCAUAUUUGGCAAAACACAUCAAGACCUGACAAGCUUUACUGGUCAAUUCCCAAUUUCCAGGUUGGUGUUUUAGCCCAGUCCUCUGUGCACAACAGCAGGGAGAACUGAGUCUGUAAUACUCAGUUCUCACUGAGUAAUACAGGGAAGACUCUGUAAUACUAUGGAGAAUGAGCUGAAAAAAUGAAUUUCCUGUAAUUCAUAUUUUCAGCUUUACAAAAUGGACUAUUUUUUGCCAUAGUCCCUGUUUGAUCACAGGAAAGAUUCUAAAUUGUGAUAACCAGUUAUUUAACAACUCUAAACCAUGUACUUGUUAAUAAAUGGGGUGCAGGGGGAUUUACAGGUGACAUAAAAAAUUAAAACACAUUCCAACUGUGCCAAGUGCAUAUGAACUUCAACCUUGUUGAACCAAAGUGAUCACCAGGAGUAAAGGCCAUUGACAUGGAUUUAAAAAUAACCCCCAUGGAAAUGCCACACACAGACCCAAAGAGGUCAGGCAAGUAACACACACAUUUCAAGAAGAACACUGAACUUCAGCAUAAAGAGAAAAAGAAAUUCGCCCCACAGUUACAUUCAGUUAAGCAUCACACCCAGAAGCUUUGCCCAGUGGAAGAACAAGCUGUGCUCAGCCCACUGGAGCUGGCACUGGCAGGCACAGCUGGGGACCCUCCUCCUCCUCCUCCUGGUUCCCUUGCCUGGUAGCCAGGCCCCAUCCCAGACCAAUUUUUGUUGCGCUUUUUGAUGCAGUUGUUCCUUUGGACCCUAUGGAAUAUGGAAUGCUCCAGCUGUGCUCCAUCCUACCCCUGGUGGUGUCAGAACUGUGCUCGUCACUAGGGGCAGGUGCUUCCCCUCCCUGCUCACAUCUGUGUCCUUGGAUGCUGCUGUUUCCAGGUGAAACCACAUCCCAGGCUUCCUUCCCUGAGGUUCCCUUUGUUUCAGUAAACCAGCACAGCCAGUGAUGCCCUACCAAGCUCCUUAGCUUCUAAGAAACACAGAAAUCCUGCAAAAUAAAAUUGCUCCAAAGCUCCACUGCUUUGACAGAGAACCGUUUCCUACACCCUCCUCCUAAAGGUGACUCACUUUUCCCAAAACCUCAUGAGGACAUAGACUUCAAGCAAAAAGCUCCUAUAAAACUAUUGUAAUUUUAGAAAAAAAUCCAGAUCUUCCUGAAGAUAAUUUAUUGCCGCUGAUUGGUCCUGAGAAAGCUUUAAGCAACAAUACAUUUGCACGUGUUUUAACUGCUGCCUUUUCUGAGAAGGUAUGUGGGUCCUGAGACUAAAAACCAUGUUUUACUCUGUGCACUUAAGCUUGGAAAAUGCUUCACUGUGCAGAUCAAAUAUGAAUUACAAUUUGUCACGCUACAUCUUCCUUCUGUGCCAAUUUAUUAAAGCAGAUUUCCUUCCAGACACUAACAAAUUAAAGUUCUCGGGAUGAAAUGCAAUGGUAAAAUGCCACACGUGUGCUUCCUCACAUUGGACUGGCAUUUAAGGACUUCAGAUCUUCCUUCUCCCUCAUUCCCCACCUCCUGUUAAAAGCUAUGGUGAGAAUUUUUUGGCCUGGAUACCAGAAAAUUCCUCAUCUGAUACUCUAUGAAAGGCAACUUCAAGGCAAUGAAAUAAGCCAACAAAAACACAAAAACAUUCACAACUCUGAAGAAAAAAUAUGGACCCACAGCAGUUACUUCUCAAUGGAAGUGCUUGGUAGCUUGAGAUUUUUUUUUUCUUUUUAACUGUUAAAGUGUCAAAUUUGCAUAUGUUUAAC